UGUUUCAAGUUAUUCUGCUAAUCCAGCUGAAAGGGAAACAGAUGAAGUGGUUCUGAGGAGAAGACAAAAACAGAUCAAUUUUGGGAAGAAUACCCUUGCAUAUGACAGAUACAUUAAAGAAGUUCCAAAGAAUCAGCGAAUACCAGGAGUUCAUCCUAGAACUCCCAACAAAUUUAAGAAGUACAGCCGUAGAUCCUGGGACCAGCAGAUCAGGCUGUGGAAGAUAGCAUUGCAUGCCUGGGAUCCUCCUACUGAAGAAACCUGGGAUCUGCAGCCAGUUCCCUGUUCUCCCGAUUCUUCUCCAGUAUGGAAACGCAGAAAAAGAAACCAUUCUGACUCCUCUGUGGUUUCAAAGAGCAAAAGCCAUUAUGUGCAUACGUACCACACACUGGAAAGUCUUAAUGAGUCAGGACAUCAGGAGGCUUUUUCAGCAUGCUCAGAGUGGGA
Non-coding RNA from Tauraco erythrolophus (red-crested turaco), 447 nucleotides. The record is from RefSeq and is a predicted model, not a curated record. NCBI's taxonomy places the organism in Eukaryota, Metazoa, Chordata, Aves, Musophagiformes, Musophagidae.